CAUAAAUGGUGAUAAAGAUAAUAUAGUAUAUGAAAGCAGAAUAUAAAUAGUACAGUAGAAGUAAUGAACUGUUCUUCCUGUAACUGGUACUUUCUACUGCUCUCUUGUGCAAGGUUAUUUUAGAAGUGGACAUGAGUGGUAUUCCAUGAUACGAAUUACCUACAAUCACAAAUGUCUGGUUCCUUUAAGUAGCCCAUUUAGUAAGGCUAUAUUUUCAUCUGUCUGUGCUAUCCAAAGUCUGUUAAGACUCUUCCAGUUUUCCAGUCCAAAUGAACGUCCAGGUGAAAGUUGUUUUGUCGGUUGGAUGCUAAUCAGGGUGAGAUAUAAGCAAGAAUAUAUGGGCUUAAGCAUAGAGCCUCCCAAGAACUCAGGGCAAUUCAAUCAAACAUAAAAAAAUAUACUGUAUAAUAACUAAUAACUUGAUUGAGUAAAAUAUUGAAUUUUAAAAUUUAUGUAUUUAUCACAUUUUAAAAAUAAAUUGUGUGAAUGAAACACAGUUGUACACAGAGUAUCAAAGUUGUAUGAUACAAAUACGAUUAUACACUACAAAUAACUAAAAUACGUUUGUAGUGUAUAAAAUACCC
This 584-nucleotide long non-coding RNA is filed under the name Androctonus crassicauda. The record is from RNAcentral. Lineage: Eukaryota; Metazoa; Arthropoda; Arachnida; Scorpiones; Buthidae.